RNAcentral lists this long non-coding RNA (505 nucleotides) under Setaria viridis. RNAcentral describes it as "long non-coding RNA (SVIR_LNC002479)". The record is from RNAcentral. Lineage: Eukaryota; Viridiplantae; Streptophyta; Magnoliopsida; Poales; Poaceae.
GAUCCCACCUUACAACCAGGGUGCACCUAUAUUGGUGCCCUUAGUAGCUCCCAGCACUGCACGGGGGUCCAAAGACAGGAGGAAUAUACCGGCCGGUUCAUCAGUACCCUGGCAGUGUUUUUCUUCAUUGCUUUUCUUUUGUACUCCAUGGAAGACAUUGCAAGAUGAUCUCCCGAGAAAUCGACAACUUUUUGCAUGGGUUGCUUGCUUCCACGGUCACACACGACGGAUGAAUUGACUAAAGCCGGCCCGGGACCGUGACCCUGAGCUGAGGGUGGUGAGCCGUUGAGAGGUGGCUACUAACUAAAGGCGAGCUUGCUUUUUGCAGCCUUCCUUCCUUUUGACGGGAGCAAACCAAAUCACAAAUUAGCGCAUCAGUCGUCGACCAUUAUCAUCCUUGCUCCGCUAAUUAUCUAGUAGUUACUAGGUUAUUAGCAUUGAAGGGAACUCACGUUGCGGUGAGCCAGUGGUAGAUUACAUGGCGAUGGCACGCUCAAUGUCCAGC